RNAcentral lists this transfer-messenger RNA (277 nucleotides) under Mesorhizobium sp. M7A.F.Ca.CA.002.05.1.1. RNAcentral describes it as "partial transfer-messenger RNA". It matches the Rfam family "Alphaproteobacteria transfer-messenger RNA", at positions 1 to 271 of the family's 355-position model. Rfam says of the family: Bacterial tmRNA, also known as 10Sa RNA or SsrA, is named for its dual tRNA and mRNA-like properties. Its role is to liberate the mRNA from a stalled ribosome. To accomplish this part of the tmRNA is used as a reading frame that ends in a translation stop signal. Lineage: Bacteria; Pseudomonadati; Pseudomonadota; Alphaproteobacteria; Hyphomicrobiales; Phyllobacteriaceae. The record is from RNAcentral.
GGCCUUCCAUUUCUUGCGAUGGCCCCCUAUAUUCGGUUUGUCGGCUUGACCGACUAUGGCGAUAAAUGGGCGAUGAAAUAAGCCGUUCGGACCCGGGGGCGGUACCCGGCGCCUCCACCAAAAGCCGCUGCUGAUGACAGAGCGGUUUUUGCUGGGGGCGAAAUAGGAUCGACGAAGGUGUAAAGAUCGUACUUUUGCCCGGCAUGGUACCACCGUCAUCGGGCUAAACCUGUAGUUGCAAAUGACAACUAUGCGGAAGCACGUCUCGCCGCGUAAG